CCUACGGGUGGCAGCAGUGGGGAAUAUUGGACAAUGGGCGAAAGCCUGAUCCAGCCAUGCCGCGUGUGUGAAGAAGGCCUUCGGGUUGUAAAGCACUUUCAGUGGGGAAGAAAGCCUUGGGGCUAAUACCCUCGAGGAAGGACAUCACCCACAGAAGAAGCACCGGCUAACUCCGUGCCAGCAGCCGCGGUAAUACGGAGGGUGCGAGCGUUAAUCGGAAUUACUGGGCGUAAAGCGCGCGUAGGCGGUCUGAUAAGCCGGUUGUGAAAGCCCCGGGCUCAACCUGGGAACGGCAUCCGGAACGGUCAGGCUAGAGUGCAGGAGAGGAAGGUAGAAUUCCCGGUGUAGCGGUGAAAUGCGUAGAGAUCGGGAGGAAUACCAGUGGCGAAGGCGGCCUUCUGGACUGACACUGACGCUGAGGUGCGAAAGCGUGGGUAGCAAACAGGAUUAGAUACCCUAGUAGUC
Molecule: ribosomal RNA, 465 nt
Filed under: Vreelandella stevensii
Lineage: Bacteria; Pseudomonadati; Pseudomonadota; Gammaproteobacteria; Oceanospirillales; Halomonadaceae
Description: partial 16S ribosomal RNA
Rfam family: Bacterial small subunit ribosomal RNA
Source: RNAcentral